CUUCAUUUGAGGAGUUUGGAAACCUUUUAGUUAGAAGACAUGGGGCUUCAGCAUGCAAAAGCUCAGCAUGAGAACCAGCGUAUGGAGACUAUCCCGGCAUCUGGGGCUAAAGGCCAGAGUCUGAGGAACAACAGCUGUAUAUUUAUCAAGCGUCACUUCUUGCGAUCCUUUCAGUAGCCGCCUUUGUACACAUAAGGACAAUAGGGUUCCAAAAAGUUGAGUCAACUAUCAAAAUGAAGAGCACAGUGCUGGACCCUACAGACCCUAGACAAGGUUGUCUAUCUGGGGGUGUUCGAGAGGGAGAGGGAGUGCGACCCAACUUUGGGUGCCCUUUGACAGCCAGUCCUGGUUCCUUUUCAAGUAAACUUCCCUUCGGUUUCACAGUU
This is a long non-coding RNA of Mus musculus (house mouse), 386 nucleotides long. RefSeq annotates it as predicted gene 3596. NCBI's taxonomy places the organism in Eukaryota, Metazoa, Chordata, Mammalia, Rodentia, Muridae. The record is from RefSeq and is a predicted model, not a curated record. The transcript has 2 exons.